RNAcentral lists this ribosomal RNA (379 nucleotides) under uncultured cyanobacterium. RNAcentral describes it as "bacterial SSU rRNA". It matches the Rfam family "Bacterial small subunit ribosomal RNA", at positions 376 to 770 of the family's 1533-position model. The record is from RNAcentral. Lineage: Bacteria; Bacillati; Cyanobacteriota.
CGAAAGCCUGACGGAGCAACGCCGCGUGAGGGAUGAAGGCCUCUGGGCUGUAAACCUCUUUUAUCAAGGAAGAAGAUCUGACGGUACUUGAUGAAUAAGCCACGGCUAAUUCCGUGCCAGCAGCCGCGGUAAUACGGGAGUGGCAAGCGUUAUCCGGAAUUAUUGGGCGUAAAGCGUCCGCAGGCGGCCCAGAAAGUCUGCUGUUAAAACGUGGAGCUUAACUCCAUCAUGGCAGUGGAAACUGUUGGGCUUGAGUGUGGUAGGGGCAGAGGGAAUUCCCGGUGUAGCGGUGAAAUGCGUAGAUAUCGGGAAGAACACCAGUGGCGAAGGCGCUCUGCUGGGCCAUAACUGACGCUCAUGGACGAAAGCCAGGGGAGCG